UCCCUGGUGGCCAAGUGGUUAGGAUUCAGCACUUUAACUGCUGUAGCCCAGGUUCCAUUCCUGGUCGGGGAA
Lipotes vexillifer (Yangtze River dolphin) is the source of this 72-nucleotide non-coding RNA. The record is from the annotation of a RefSeq genome assembly. Lineage: Eukaryota; Metazoa; Chordata; Mammalia; Artiodactyla; Lipotidae.